CAUUUUCAUUGGUAUUGAGGAUCCUAUAGGUAAGGUAGAUCUUGGCUUCAUUUUCAACCAAACUGCAUGACUGCUUAAUAUUUCAAGACUAAUAUAUUUACUUGUCUGUCUCUUUUUUUCAAAAUUUAUAUUGACCAGGAACAUAUCUAGGGUUAUAGGAAAGGGGCGUAAGUGUCCCAUAUGGUAAAAAGAAGCUGAGAUAUGCAAAUUUUUUUUACGAUUAAAAGAAAUGCUUAAAACAUAUUUAUUUUCCAAUCGAAGGGGUAUCUCAAUGCCCCACCUGAUUUCCCUUUGUUGAUAAAAUAAGUAUAGGAGUUAAUACAGUACGUGUUGAAUGUUUGCUUUGUGUGAUGUUUUGUAUAUAAAAAAGAAGAUGUGGUAUGAUUGCCAAUGAGACAACUGUCCACAAGAGACCAAAAUGACACAGACAUUAACAACUAUAGGUCACUGUAUGGCCUUCAACAAUGAUCAAAGCCCAUACCGCGUAGUCAGCUAUAAAAGGCCUUGAUAAGACAAUGUUAAACAAUGCAAAUGAGAUGUAUGCAUGUUAAAGUAUGUUGUCAGAGCUCGUGUGUUAUUGAAAUUGUUGUCAACUGUAUAUGUGUGCAAACAUAAAUUAAUUUCUCAAUUAUUUACUUACUCACUGAC
RNAcentral lists this long non-coding RNA (648 nucleotides) under Mytilus galloprovincialis (Mediterranean mussel). The record is from RNAcentral. Lineage: Eukaryota; Metazoa; Mollusca; Bivalvia; Mytilida; Mytilidae.